RNAcentral lists this ribosomal RNA (706 nucleotides) under bacterium ocme08spr613. RNAcentral describes it as "bacterial SSU rRNA". It matches the Rfam family "Bacterial small subunit ribosomal RNA", at positions 48 to 749 of the family's 1533-position model. The record is from RNAcentral.
GCUACACAUGCAGUCGAGCGGAACGAUGGUAGCUUGCUACCAGGCGUCGAGCGGCGGACGGGUGAGUAACACUUAGGAAUCUACCUAGUAGUGGGGGAUAGCUCGGGGAAACUCGAAUUAAUACCGCAUACGACCUACGGGAGAAAGGGGGCAGUUUACUGCUCUCGCUAUUAGAUGAGCCUAAGUCGGAUUAGCUAGAUGGUGGGGUAAAGGCCUACCAUGGCGACGAUCUGUAGCUGGUCUGAGAGGAUGAUCAGCCACACCGGGACUGAGACACGGCCCGGACUCCUACGGGAGGCAGCAGUGGGGAAUAUUGGACAAUGGGGGCAACCCUGAUCCAGCCAUGCCGCGUGUGUGAAGAAGGCCUUUUGGUUGUAAAGCACUUUAAGCAGUGAAGAAGACUCUAGGGUUAAUACCCCUAGACGAUGACAUUAGCUGCAGAAUAAGCACCGGCUAACUCUGUGCCAGCAGCCGCGGUAAUACAGAGGGUGCAAGCGUUAAUCGGAAUUACUGGGCGUAAAGCGAGCGUAGGUGGCUUGAUAAGUCAGAUGUGAAAUCCCCGGGCUUAACCUGGGAACUGCAUCUGAUACUGUUGAGCUAGAGUAGGUGAGAGGAAGGUAGAAUUCCAGGUGUAGCGGUGAAAUGCGUAGAGAUCUGGAGGAAUACCGAUGGCGAAGGCAGCCUUCUGGCAUCAUACUGACACUGA